GGUGGGGGAUGGACUCGCGGCCUAUCAGCUUGUUGGUGAGGUAAUGGCUUACCAAGGCGACGACGGGUAGCCGGCCUGAGAGGGUGACCGGCCACACUGGGACUGAGACACGGCCCAGACUCCUACGGGAGGCAGCAGUGGGGAAUAUUGCACAAUGGGCGCAAGCCUGAUGCAGCAACGCCGCGUGAGGGAUGACGGCCUUCGGGUUGUAAACCUCUUUUGGCAGGGAAGAAGCGAGAGUGACGGUACCUGCAGAAAAAGCACCGGCUAACUACGUGCCAGCAGCCGCGGUAAUACGUAGGGUGCGAGCGUUGUCCGGAAUUAUUGGGCGUAAAGAGCUCGUAGGCGGUCUGUCGCGUCUGCUGUGAAAUCCCGAGGCUCAACCUCGGGUCUGCAGUGGGUACGGGCAGACUAGAGUGCGGUAGGGGAGAAUGGAACUCCUGGUGUAGCGGUGGAAUGCGCAGAUAUCAGGAAGAACACCGAUGGCGAAGGCAGUUCUCUGGGCCGUAACUGACGCUGAGGAGCGAAAGCGUGGGGAGCGAACAGGAUUAGAUACCCUGGUAGUCCACGCCGUAAACGUUGGGCGCUAGAUGUGGGGACCAUUCCACGGUUUCCGUGUCGCAGC
Molecule: ribosomal RNA, 625 nt
Filed under: Rathayibacter sp.
Lineage: Bacteria; Bacillati; Actinomycetota; Actinomycetes; Micrococcales; Microbacteriaceae
Description: bacterial SSU rRNA
Rfam family: Bacterial small subunit ribosomal RNA
Source: RNAcentral